UACGGAGGGGACUAGCGUUGUUCGGAAUUACUGGGCGUAAAGCGCACGUAGGCGGAUUUGUAAGUCAGGGGUGAAAUCCCGGGGCUCAACCUCGGAACUGCCUUUGAUACUGCACAUCUCGAGUCCGGAAGAGGUGAGUGGAAUUCCUAGUGUAGAGGUGAAAUUCGUAGAUAUUAGGAAGAACACCAGUGGCGAAGGCGGCUCACUGGUCCAUUACUGACGCUGAGGUGCGAAAGCGUGGGGAGCAAACAGG
RNAcentral lists this ribosomal RNA (253 nucleotides) under uncultured bacterium. Its description in RNAcentral is "partial 16S ribosomal RNA". It matches the Rfam family "Bacterial small subunit ribosomal RNA", at positions 524 to 776 of the family's 1533-position model. The record is from RNAcentral.